AACGCACAUUGCGCCUGCUAGUAUUCUGGCAGGCAUGCCUGUCCGAGCGUCAUUGCAACCUUCAAGCCCUGCUGUGGUUUGGUGUUGGAGUGCCUGUAGCAUUAGUGCUUAGGGGCUCUGAAAGUUGGUGGCGGGCCUGUUGGGUCUCUAAGUGUAGUAUAUUUUCUUACUCUUGGAGCCUAACCGGUAGGCUUAAUUGCUUCCUAGCCAUUAAACCCUUCACUGAAAUCAGUUUGACCUCGGAUCAGGUAGGAGUACCCGCUGAACUUAA
RNAcentral lists this unclassified non-coding RNA (271 nucleotides) under uncultured fungus. RNAcentral's name for it is "sequence contains ITS2". The record is from RNAcentral. Lineage: Eukaryota; Fungi.